AUGCCCAGCCCCAUGAUACUGAACAGGCAGGGGAACGAGGAGACCAGCCACCCCAAACAAGCUCCUGUCCCCCUGGGACCCUCCCAUGUCCCCCAGCCCCCAGCCAGCUCCGUUGGUGCCACCCCGCUCCCGGGGACCAACAGGGCUGGCACCUCCCCGGGACCCCAAAUCCUUCCUCCGGGUCGGUGCAGAGGAAGGGGAUACUGUGACAGCAUGAGUGGUGGGAUCGGCAGGGGUACAUACACACUCACACCACACACACAGAAUUGGGGGGACCAGUGUCACCCCCUGGCUCUGCCCGCCCGUGCAGAACAGCCCCCAUCUCCCCCCAGCACCCCCAGCAGUGACACCGCCACCCCCGACAGCCGCAGCACCAUCACUGCUUUUGUGGGGCCGGUGAGGUUCUGGAUGAGGCCCUGGCCCUGCUACGGGGUGCCCCGGCUGCCUCGGGCUGGACCGUUUGCCUUUGACCAGGAUCAGGCCCCCAGCCGUGUUUAUUCAUUUAUUUUUGCCUCCCCCCACCCCCCGCACCCCAAAGAGCUGGGUUUGCUGCAGGUGGGGCCCUGCCUGUCCGUCCGUCUGCUUUGGGCACCGGGCAGGGGGACAAACAGCAUGGCAAGGGGGACAAGGAGGCUGUGGGGGGCUGUGAGCGGGGAUUUGGAUGGACACCCCCAUUUCUCCUUGUCUGCCCCCUGCUCCUUCCCCCUUUUCACCACCCCGUCCCCACAGCGCAGGACCACCCGUCCCCUCUCUGCCGUGUCCCUCUCGCAGCUCCGUCCUCUCGGUGCAUUUCUCCAGUUGCCGUUUUGCAAUUCACGGGGAAGAAAGAGGGGGCACAGACCCACGGGCAGCCACCGGGGCAGGACCGCCGAGCCCUCCUGCCCCCCAGCAAUGUCCUUAGGGCUUGGCACAACGGGGGUGAGGAGCUCUUCGCCCCGUGGCAUGGUGGCAGGUGCCACCUCUGCUUGUCCCCCUGCCACCCGUCCCUGCGAGGGGGUUUGCAGGAGAGCAGCACCCGUCUGUCCACCCCUACGGUCCUGCCGGUGGCGAGAGGGGACCAAGGAGACGUUUCCCCCAGUCCUUCCCCAUCGGUGCCACGCGUCCCGUGCCGCCGGUCACGUCUGCUGCGGCAGGUGGCAGGUCUCGCCGAUGGCGAUGGCCACGUCGUGGGGCUGGCGGUCCCGGCGCCGCGGCGCCUCGGGCCCCUCGCCCAUCUCGUUGAGGCUGCUGCUGAUGCAGUUGACGUCGCUUUUGUUGCUGUUGUCGUCCGGGCUGGGGCCGAAGAUCCAGUCUGGGGACGGAUUGGGGAAAAGCACAAAACGAGCCCUUGGUUAUUUUGGGGUGUUCCCAUGUCCAAAACCCAGCGUGCCCAUUAGGAAAUCCUCCAUCCCCAUCUUCCAUCACAUCUGUCACUCCGGGUGCUAA
Anser brachyrhynchus (Pink-footed goose) is the source of this 1425-nucleotide long non-coding RNA. The record is from Ensembl. Lineage: Eukaryota; Metazoa; Chordata; Aves; Anseriformes; Anatidae.